AGAGUUUGAUCCUGGCUCAGAUUGAACGCUGGCGGCAUGCCUUACACAUGCAAGUCGAACGGCAGCACGGGAGCAGUCCUGGUGGCGAGUGGCGAACGGGUGAGUAACGUAUCGGAACGUACCAUUCAGUGGGGGAUAACGUAGCGAAAGUUACGCUAAUACCGCAUAUUCUGUGAGCAGGAAAGCAGGGGAUCGCAAGACCUUGCGCUGAUUGAGCGGCCGAUAUCAGAUUAGCUAGUUGGUGAGGUAAAGGCUCACCAAGGCGACGAUCUGUAGCGGGUCUGAGAGGAUGAUCCGCCACACUGGAACUGAGACACGGUCCAGACUCCUACGGGAGGCAGCAGUGGGGAAUUUUGGACAAUGGGCGCAAGCCUGAUCCAGCCAUGCCGCGUGAGUGAAGAAGGCCUUCGGGUUGU
This 416-nucleotide ribosomal RNA is filed under the name uncultured bacterium. RNAcentral describes it as "bacterial SSU rRNA". It matches the Rfam family "Bacterial small subunit ribosomal RNA", at positions 8 to 426 of the family's 1533-position model. The record is from RNAcentral.